UGAGUAUCCCUUUGCACCAAUCUUGCUUUGAAUCUAACUCCACCUUAUUCUGAAGGUACCUCCUUCUCAGUGAACACCCACUUUAAGCCAAUGUGUCGAGCACAUCUUGGAAGAUCCACCAACUGCCAUGUCUGAUUUUUCUUCAAUGAUUCCAUCUCCUCCAUCAUGGCCUACAUCCAUGACUCCUGAUCGUCACUUUCCAUGGCC
RNAcentral lists this long non-coding RNA (207 nucleotides) under Elaeis guineensis (African oil palm). RNAcentral describes it as "long non-coding RNA (EGUI_LNC039528)". The record is from RNAcentral. Lineage: Eukaryota; Viridiplantae; Streptophyta; Magnoliopsida; Arecales; Arecaceae.